Molecule: ribosomal RNA, 468 nt
Filed under: uncultured bacterium
Lineage: Bacteria
Description: partial 16S ribosomal RNA
Rfam family: Bacterial small subunit ribosomal RNA
Source: RNAcentral
GAUGAACGCUGGCGGCGUGCUUAACACAUGCAAGUCGAACGGACAGGCCCUGCUCUUGUGGGGUGCUCGUGAGGCGAGCGGGGGAGUAACACGCGAGUAAACUGCCCCUGACUUUGGGAUAACUUCAGGAAAAUGGGGAUAAUACCGGGGAGGAGCUCCUGCUGCAUGGUGGGGGUUGGAAAGAUUCGGCGGUUGUGGCUGGACUCGAGGCUUAUCAGCUUGUUGGUGGGGUAGUGGUGUACCAAGGCUUUGAGGGGUAGCCGGCCUGAGAGGGUGGCCGGCGACCAUAGUCCUGCGAGACGGCCCAGACUCCUACGGGAGGCAGUAGUCGGAAAUCUUGCGCAACGGGCGGAAGCCUGAUGCAGCAACGCUGCGUGCGUGAUGACGGCUUUCGGGUUGUAAACCGCUUUCGCCUGUGAUGAAGCGUGAGUGACGGUAAUGGGUAAAGAAGCACCGGCUAACUACGUG